Small nuclear RNA from Nannospalax galili (Upper Galilee mountains blind mole rat), 162 nucleotides. Its record names the gene U1. It matches the Rfam family "U1 spliceosomal RNA". Rfam says of the family: U1 is a small nuclear RNA (snRNA) component of the spliceosome (involved in pre-mRNA splicing). Its 5' end forms complementary base pairs with the 5' splice junction, thus defining the 5' donor site of an intron. There are significant differences in sequence and secondary structure between metazoan and yeast U1 snRNAs, the latter being much longer (568 nucleotides as compared to 164 nucleotides in human). NCBI's taxonomy places the organism in Eukaryota, Metazoa, Chordata, Mammalia, Rodentia, Spalacidae. The record is from Ensembl.
AUAUUUACUUGGCAGGGGACACACCAUGAUCACUAAGGUGGUUUUCCCAGGUCAAGGCUUGUCCAUUGCGUUCUGGAUGUGCUAACCCUCGUGAUUUCCCCAAAUGUGGGAACUUGACUGUGCAAUUUGUGGUAGGGGGGACUGAGCUUGUUAGGGUCCGUG